CCUACGGGAGGCAGCAGUGGGGAAUAUUGGACAAUGGGCGCAAGCCUGAUCCAGCCAUGCCGCGUGAGUGAUGGAGGCCCUAGGGUUGUAAAGCUCUUUCGGCGGGGACGAUAAUGACGGUACCCGCAGAAGAAGCCCCGGCUAACUUCGUGCCAGCAGCCGCGGUAAU
RNAcentral lists this ribosomal RNA (169 nucleotides) under uncultured bacterium. Its description in RNAcentral is "partial 16S ribosomal RNA". It matches the Rfam family "Bacterial small subunit ribosomal RNA", at positions 338 to 524 of the family's 1533-position model. The record is from RNAcentral.